Fukomys damarensis (Damara mole-rat) is the source of this 147-nucleotide non-coding RNA. Lineage: Eukaryota; Metazoa; Chordata; Mammalia; Rodentia; Bathyergidae. The record is from Rfam.
AAAUUUGCGCAGUGGCAGUAUCAUAGCGAAUGAGGUUUAUCCGAGGCCUGAUUAUUGUUAAUUGAAAACUUUUCCUAAAAUUCCCAGUGAAGCCAUUAUAAAUCUCUAAUAAGAAUAAUUUGAAGUAUACAGCAAAGUAGACAUAUG